GAUAUCCACAACUAUGUUUUGGUCAUCCUUAUCGAUCCAAACAAGGCCUGUGACUUUCUUCCAAUUGACCUGUGCCUCGGGGAGCUAUCAUGGCGUGGUGUGUCAGAGGAGACUAUUUAUCUCGUCAGCAGCUAGGUACCUGGCGAACAGAUAGCGGAUAUUGAGUCCAAAGAGACAAGUUGAUGACUAUUCCCAAUUAAAGGGCUUCUAUGGAACAAGAACGUACGUCACAUUCUCCGAUGAGAAGCAGAAACAUGUAUGACCGUUCAGGCACGAGGCAUCCCGCCAGAGAAAUUGUCUUCAUAACGAUCUGUUUAGGGAAGAACAUUGGAAAUCGAAGGUGACUUCACGUGCUGGACGGUUUAAAUUUAAAUCAGUGUUUUCUUUCUUUUGUUUCAUUGACAUUUUUCUUUUCGUUUCUUAUCUAGAUAUCAUUUGUACUAUUUUGCUAAUUACUGUAAAUCACUUCGAUUUCGCGACCUUACUCCUUCAGACAUAUUCGUGGAUACAUGAUUUCAAGGACGCUGAUCUAGAAAUUACUUUAAUUCGCGAAUGAUGAGCUAUUAGAACUCUACAAGGUUCCUAUAUCGGUAUGGUCGCCAUCCCAUAGUGGUAUUUUCGGAUUUGAAUCCGCGAUUAACCCCCCUCGCGUAUUAACUCGAAAAUAAAUCCCACGUGAAAUAUAAGUCAUUUACAGUAAUAUGGUAGUAUUCAGCAUUUCCUAAUUGCCAAUAUAUUUUAACCUGUACUGUAUAGGGAUAAAUAUUGUUUAUUAGUAUAUAAUUUAAUUUUGCUUGUAACAAGCAUUUUCAUUGGCUCAAAAAAUUAUGUUAUCAUCUCAUAACAUAAAAAAAAUAAAAGGAACUACUUUCAGUUAUACCGGAAGUAGCGGAGUAAUCCUUGUUCACGGGAUUUUGUAUUUAUCGAUGUGUUUUUAAAUAUCUGGAGCAAAAUAAACAUGUUAAACUUAA
This is a long non-coding RNA of Pecten maximus, 971 nucleotides long. RefSeq lists it as uncharacterized. The transcript has 2 exons. The record is from RefSeq and is a predicted model, not a curated record. NCBI's taxonomy places the organism in Eukaryota, Metazoa, Mollusca, Bivalvia, Pectinida, Pectinidae.